This 25-nucleotide non-coding RNA is filed under the name Mus musculus (house mouse). Lineage: Eukaryota; Metazoa; Chordata; Mammalia; Rodentia; Muridae. The record is from RNAcentral.
UGAACUCCUGGGGUUACCACAUCCA